This 495-nucleotide ribosomal RNA is filed under the name uncultured bacterium. RNAcentral's name for it is "partial 16S ribosomal RNA". It matches the Rfam family "Bacterial small subunit ribosomal RNA", at positions 28 to 507 of the family's 1533-position model. The record is from RNAcentral.
GACGAACGCUGGCGGCGUGCCUAAUACAUGCAAGUAGAACGCUGAAGGAGGAGCUUGCUUCUCCGGAUGAGUUGCGAACGGGUGAGUAACGCGUAGGUAACCUGCCUGGUAGCGGGGGAUAACUAUUGGAAACGAUAGCUAAUACCGCAUAACAGUAGAUAUUGCAUGAUAUCUGCUUGAAAGGUGCAAUUGCAUCACUACCAGAUGGACCUGCGUUGUAUUAGCUAGUUGGUGAGGUAACGGCCCACCAAGGCGACGAUACAUAGCCGACCUGAGAGGGUGAUCGGCCACACUGGGACUGAGACACGGCCCAGACUCCUACGGGAGGCAGCAGUAGGGAAUCUUCGGCAAUGGACGGAAGUCUGACCGAGCAACGCCGCGUGAGUGAAGAAGGUUUUCGGAUCGUAAAGCUCUGUUGUAAGAGAAGAACGAGUGUGAGAGUGGAAAGUUCACACUGUGACGGUAUCUUACCAGAAAGGGACGGCUAACUACGUG